Molecule: long non-coding RNA, 1156 nt
Organism: Anopheles bellator
Lineage: Eukaryota; Metazoa; Arthropoda; Insecta; Diptera; Culicidae
Exons: 3
Source: RefSeq, a predicted model, not a curated record
UUUACUUUCUCCUUAUUCUUUGUUGACUCAUAUAAAGUCUGACUAUUUUAUUUACUUUAACCGAUAUUUGCUCCUUGUGGUAGAUUAUAUUUUGAAUUGCGUGCAAGAUUGAGUGACUUUGGAGCAAGCUGUCAAACUGCCCGUGAGUUCCUGUGUUGACGAAAUUAGACCGAGCUGUCAAAAGGUACCGCAGAAGAGUAAACAAUGCGAACGAAUUUACAAAAUCUCUGCACAAAAAUAGACGAUUGCAGUAAAAGUGAAAACUUCGGGAUUUAUCAAGAAAAAGAAUGGCGUUAAAACCGCUAAAAUACGCCGUUGAUGCUUGUCGACGUGUGACGCUUUGGAGUCCCUAGUGAACGAUAAAUCCGGACAAUAUAAGCUUCAGAAACUCCGCGAUUGUACAGGUUUACAGGUUGCAUCGUUUUUGUGUUCGAUGUGCGAAUCGCGUUUGGAUAAGAUGUAUACGUUUCGCUGGCGAUGCAACAAAAACAUUGCACUGGUCAAUGGAUUUAACGAAAAGCAAAACACUGCGAAGAACUAGGCAGACAUUGGCAAAGACCAUCUUGACCACUCUGCUGAGCAAACGGUUGGCACAAAUUUGUUAAUCAAAACUGAAGUCACCAUACCGGAUGCAGUGCACGAUUCGCACUUGAACUGUACAGCUCAUCAAGUAAAUGGGACAUAUGAGUGUUGUGGCAACCAACCUGACGAUUUUUUCGAGGAAGUGGAAAUCCAAUUUCGUUCAAAUUAGAGGAUGAAAAUGUCGAUGAACAGGAUAACAGUCAAACAAAGCCUUCAGAAUUGAUGUUUCACGAUCGAGAAGAUCCCUCUGCGACAAGCAACACGUGUAUUAAUGCCUCGCAUAAGGCCUGUUGUGAGUAACAUCUGUUCCAAAGCGUUCAAAUCACGAAGCAAUCUGCUACAUUAUUCGAAAAUCCACAAGAAGGAAGAAUACCAACAGUGUCCGCAUUGUCCUUCAAAGCUUGCGCUUUCGUCAGCGUUGAAGGGACACAUUCGCAUUCAUACCGGUGAAAAUCUGUAAGAAAGCGUAAUAUUCAUUAUCUGCGCUAUCAUAUCAUUCGAAAAUUCACAACAUGUGCUAAUUGCAUUUAUCCUAAGCAUGUAUUCUUCUAAUAUUAAAAGCGUUCGAUUGAAG